GCGCACCAGGCGCGAAUCCUUCGCAAUGCGGGAAACUGCGACGAGGGGACUCCCAGUGCCUACGCUCAGCGUAGGCUGUUCCCGAGCCUAGAAAGCUCGGGGAGUAAGGGCUGGGUAAGACGGGUGCCAGCCGCCGCGGUAAUACCCGCAGCCCGAGUGGUGGCCACUAUUAUUGGGCCUAAAGCGUCCGUAGCCGGCCCGGUAAAUGCCUGGGUAAAUCGUGAGGCCUAACCUCACGAAUUCCGGGUAGACUGCCGGGCUAGGGACCGGAGGAGGGAGAGGGGUACUCCAGGGGUAGGGGUGAAAUCCUGUAAUCCCUGGAGGACCACCGGUGGCGAAGGCGCUCUCCUAGGACGGGUCCGACGGUGAGGGACGAAAGCCAGGGGAGCGAACCGGAUUAGAUACCCCUGUAGU
RNAcentral lists this ribosomal RNA (414 nucleotides) under uncultured microorganism. Its description in RNAcentral is "bacterial SSU rRNA". It matches the Rfam family "Archaeal small subunit ribosomal RNA", at positions 330 to 745 of the family's 1478-position model. The record is from RNAcentral.